This 578-nucleotide ribosomal RNA is filed under the name Vibrio sp. MR07-33. RNAcentral's name for it is "partial 16S ribosomal RNA". It matches the Rfam family "Bacterial small subunit ribosomal RNA", at positions 97 to 670 of the family's 1533-position model. The record is from RNAcentral. Lineage: Bacteria; Pseudomonadati; Pseudomonadota; Gammaproteobacteria; Vibrionales; Vibrionaceae.
GGCGGACGGGUGAGUAAUGCCUGGGAAAUUGCCCUGAUGUGGGGGAUAACCAUUGGAAACGAUGGCUAAUACCGCAUAACGUCUACGGACCNNAGAGGGGGACCUUCGGGCCUCUCGCUUCAGGAUAUGCCCAGGUGGGAUUANCUAGUUGGUGAGGUAAUGGCUCACCAAGGCGACGAUCCCUAGCUGGUCUGAGAGGAUGAUCANCCACACUGGAACUGANACNCGGUCCAGACUCCUACGGGAGGCAGCNNUGGGGAAUAUUGCACAAUGGGCGCAAGCCUGAUGCAGCCAUGCCGCGUGUAUGAAGAAGGCCUUCGGGUUGUAAAGUACUUUCAGUCGUGAGGAAGGNNUUAACGUUAAUANCGUUAGNGUUUGACGUUAGCGACAGAAGAAGCACCGGCUAACUCCGUGCCAGCAGCCGCGGUAAUACGGAGGGUGCGAGCGUUAAUCGGAAUUACUGGGCGUANAGCGCAUGCAGGUGGUUUGUUAAGUCAGAUGUGANAGCCCGGGGCUCNACCUCGGAACCGCAUUUGAAACUGGCAGGCUAGAGUACUGUANAGGGGGGGUAGAAUUUC